GUCGCUUUGGCGUAGUUGGGAGCGCGUCAGACUGAAGAUCUGAAGGUCCCGUGUUCGAUCCACGGAGGCGACA
This is a transfer RNA of Vitrella brassicaformis, 73 nucleotides long. It matches the Rfam family "tRNA". From Rfam's summary of the family: Transfer RNA (tRNA) molecules are approximately 80 nucleotides in length. Their secondary structure includes four short double-helical elements and three loops (D, anti-codon, and T loops). The record is from Rfam. NCBI's taxonomy places the organism in Eukaryota, Vitrellaceae.